Molecule: ribosomal RNA, 371 nt
Filed under: uncultured organism
Description: partial 16S ribosomal RNA
Rfam family: Bacterial small subunit ribosomal RNA
Source: RNAcentral
AGAGGGUGCGAGCGUUAAUCGGAAUCACUGGGCGUAAAGAGCACGUAGGUGGACAUGCAAGUUGGAUGUGAAAGCCCUGGGCUUAACCUGGGAAUGCCAUCCAAAACUGCCUGUCUAGAGUACAGUAGAGGAAAGCGGAAUUUCCGGUGUAGCGGUGAAAUGCGUAGAUAUCGGAAGGAACAUCAGUAGCGAAGGCGGCUUUCUGGACUGAUACUGACACUGAGGUGCGAAAGCGUGGGGAGCGAACAGGAUUAGAUACCCUGGUAGUCCCACGCCGUAAACGAUGAGAACUAGCCGUUGGAGACCUAUGAGUCUUUUGUGGCGCAGCUAACGCGAUAAGUUCUCCGCCUGGGGAGUACGGCGCAAGGUUA